Molecule: ribosomal RNA, 1675 nt
Filed under: Escherichia coli
Lineage: Bacteria; Pseudomonadati; Pseudomonadota; Gammaproteobacteria; Enterobacterales; Enterobacteriaceae
Description: partial 23S ribosomal RNA
Rfam family: Bacterial large subunit ribosomal RNA
Source: RNAcentral
AUGCUGGAGGUAUCAGAAGUGCGAAUGCUGACAUAAGUAACGAUAAAGCGGGUGAAAAGCCCGCUCGCCGGAAGACCAAGGGUUCCUGUCCAACGUUAAUCGGGGCAGGGUGAGUCGACCCCUAAGGCGAGGCCGAAAGGCGUAGUCGAUGGGAAACAGGUUAAUAUUCCUGUACUUGGUGUUACUGCGAAGGGGGGACGGAGAAGGCUAUGUUGGCCGGGCGACGGUUGUCCCGGUUUAAGCGUGUAGGCUGGUUUUCCAGGCAAAUCCGGAAAAUCAAGGCUGAGGCGUGAUGACGAGGCACUACGGUGCUGAAGCAACAAAUGCCCUGCUUCCAGGAAAAGCCUCUAAGCAUCAGGUAACAUCAAAUCGUACCCCAAACCGACACAGGUGGUCAGGUAGAGAAUACCAAGGCGCUUGAGAGAACUCGGGUGAAGGAACUAGGCAAAAUGGUGCCGUAACUUCGGGAGAAGGCACGCUGAUAUGUAGGUGAAGCGACUUGCUCGUGGAGCUGAAAUCAGUCGAAGAUACCAGCUGGCUGCAACUGUUUAUUAAAAACACAGCACUGUGCAAACACGAAAGUGGACGUAUACGGUGUGACGCCUGCCCGGUGCCGGAAGGUUAAUUGAUGGGGUCAGCGCAAGCGAAGCUCUUGAUCGAAGCCCCGGUAAACGGCGGCCGUAACUAUAACGGUCCUAAGGUAGCGAAAUUCCUUGUCGGGUAAGUUCCGACCUGCACGAAUGGCGUAAUGAUGGCCAGGCUGUCUCCACCCGAGACUCAGUGAAAUUGAACUCGCUGUGAAGAUGCAGUGUACCCGCGGCAAGACGGAAAGACCCCGUGAACCUUUACUAUAGCUUGACACUGAACAUUGAGCCUUGAUGUGUAGGAUAGGUGGGAGGCUUUGAAGUGUGGACGCCAGUCUGCAUGGAGCCGACCUUGAAAUACCACCCUUUAAUGUUUGAUGUUCUAACGUGGACCCGUGAUCCGGGUUGCGGACAGUGUCUGGUGGGUAGUUUGACUGGGGCGGUCUCCUCCUAAAGAGUAACGGAGGAGCACGAAGGUUGGCUAAUCCUGGUCGGACAUCAGGAGGUUAGUGCAAUGGCAUAAGCCAGCUUGACUGCGAGCGUGACGGCGCGAGCAGGUGCGAAAGCAGGUCAUAGUGAUCCGGUGGUUCUGAAUGGAAGGGCCAUCGCUCAACGGAUAAAAGGUACUCCGGGGAUAACAGGCUGAUACCGCCCAAGAGUUCAUAUCGACGGCGGUGUUUGGCACCUCGAUGUCGGCUCAUCACAUCCUGGGGCUGAAGUAGGUCCCAAGGGUAUGGCUGUUCGCCAUUUAAAGUGGUACGCGAGCUGGGUUUAGAACGUCGUGAGACAGUUCGGUCCCUAUCUGCCGUGGGCGCUGGAGAACUGAGGGGGGCUGCUCCUAGUACGAGAGGACCGGAGUGGACGCAUCACUGGUGUUCGGGUUGUCAUGCCAAUGGCACUGCCCGGUAGCUAAAUGCGGAAGAGAUAAGUGCUGAAAGCAUCUAAGCACGAAACUUGCCCCGAGAUGAGUUCUCCCUGACCCUUUAAGGGUCCUGAAGGAACGUUGAAGACGACGACGUUGAUAGGCCGGGUGUGUAAGCGCAGCGAUGCGUUGAGCUAACCGGUACUAAUGAACCGUGAGGCUUAACCUU